AUGGCCAUCGUACCUUCCGAUUCCUCCGCACCGUCCGCACCCACCUGACGAUUGCUCGCUGCGUCUGUUAACC
RNAcentral lists this small RNA (73 nucleotides) under Xanthomonas campestris. RNAcentral describes it as "sX9 sRNA". It matches the Rfam family "Xanthomonas sRNA sX9". Lineage: Bacteria; Pseudomonadati; Pseudomonadota; Gammaproteobacteria; Lysobacterales; Lysobacteraceae. RNAcentral also lists the same sequence under 2 other names. The record is from RNAcentral.